Dreissena polymorpha is the source of this 916-nucleotide long non-coding RNA. RefSeq lists it as uncharacterized. NCBI's taxonomy places the organism in Eukaryota, Metazoa, Mollusca, Bivalvia, Myida, Dreissenidae. The transcript is spliced from 2 exons. The record is from RefSeq and is a predicted model, not a curated record.
GCGGCGGGCGGGCGGCGGGCGGCGGGCGGAAGGCAUCACUUUGUCCGGACUCUAAUUCAAAUUGUAUUCAUCCGAUCUUCACCAAACUUGGUCAGCAGUUGCAUCUAGUUGAUAUCUAGGCCAAGUUCGAAUAUGGGUCAUGCCGGGUCAAAAACUAGGUCAUAGGGUCAAUAAGUGCAUUUUCAAAGGGGCCACUUUGUCCGGACUCUAUUUCAAAUUGUAUUCAUCCGAUCUUCACCAAACUUGGUCAGCAGUUGCAUCUAGUUGAUAUCUAGGCCAAGUUCGAAUAUGGGUCAUGCCGGGUCAAAAACUAGGUCAUAGGGUCAAUUAGUGCAUUUUCAACGGCGCCACUUUGUCCGGACUCUAAUUCAAAUUGUAUUCAUCCGAUCUUCACCAAAUUUGGUCAUCACUUUGUCCGGACUCUAAUUCAAAUUGUAUUCAUCCGAUCUUCACCAAACUUGGUCAGCAGUUGCAUCUAGUUGAUAUCUAGGCCAAGUUCGAAUAUGGGUCAUGCCGGGUCAAAAACUAGGUCAUAGGGUCAAUAAGUGCAUUUUCAAAGGGGCCACUUUGUCCGGACUCUAUUUCAAAUUGUAUUCAUCCGAUCUUCACCAAACUUGGUCAGCAGUUGCAUCUAGUUGAUAUCUAGGCCAAGUUCGAAUAUGGGUCAUGCCGGGUCAAAAACUAGGUCAUAGGGUCAAUAAGUGCAUUUUCAAAGGGGCCACUUUGUCCGGACUCUAUUUCAAAUUGUAUUCAUCCGAUCUUCACCAAACUUGGUCAGCAGUUGCAUCUAGUUGAUAUAUAGGCCAAGUUCGAAUAUGGGUCAUGCCGGGUCAAAAACUAGGUCAUAGGGUCAAUUAGUGCAUUUUCAACGGCGCCACUUUGUCCGGACUCUAAUUCAAAUUGUAUUCAUCCGAUC